RNAcentral lists this ribosomal RNA (914 nucleotides) under uncultured archaeon. RNAcentral's name for it is "bacterial SSU rRNA". It matches the Rfam family "Archaeal small subunit ribosomal RNA", at positions 1 to 921 of the family's 1478-position model. The record is from RNAcentral.
UUCCGGUUGAUCCUGCCGGAGGUCACCGCUAUUGGGAUUCGAUUAAGCCAUGCGAGUCGAGAGGGUUCGGCCCUCGGCAGACUGCUCAGUAACGCGUGGAUAAUCUGCCCUUAGGUGGAGGAUAAUCUCGGGAAACUGAGGAUAAUACUCCAUAGAUCUAAGAUGCUGGAAUGCGCUUAGAUUAAAAGUUCCGGCGCCUAAGGAUGAGUCUGCGGACUAUCAGGUAGUAGUCAGGGUAACGGCCUGACUAGCCUACAACGGAUACGGGUUGUGAGAGCAAUAACCCGGAGACGAUAUCUGAGACACGAUAUCGGGCCCUACGGGGCGCAGCAGGCGCGAAACCUUCACACUGUGCGAAAGCGCGAUGAGGGGAUCCCAAGUGCUUGCACGUAAGUGUAAGCUGUUUCUUUGUUUAAAACGCAGAGAGAGGAAGGGCUGGGUAAGACGGGUGCCAGCCGCCGCGGUAAUACCUGCAGCUCGAGUGGUGACCGCUAUUAUUGGGCCUAAAACGUCCGUAGCCGGCUGAGUAAAUGCUUGGGUAAAUCGUGCCGCUUAACGGUACGAAUUCCGGGUAAACUGCUCAGCUUGAGAUCGGGAGAAGCUAGAGGUACUCCUGGGGUAGAGGUGAAAUUCUGUAAUCCUGGGGGGACCACCAGUGGCGAAGGCGUCUAGCUAGAACGAGUCUGACGGUGAGGGACGAAACCCUGGGGCGCAAACCGGAUUAGAUACCCGGGUAGUCCAGGGCGCAAACGCUGCUUGCUUGAUGUUAGCUGGGCUCCGAGCUCAGCUAGUGUCGGAGAGAAGUUGUUAAGCAAGCUGCCUGGGAAGUACGAUCGCAAGAUUGAAACUUAAAGGAAUUGGCGGGGGAGCACAGCAACGGGAGGAGCGUGCGGUUUAAUUGGAUUCAACGCCGG